Molecule: ribosomal RNA, 211 nt
Filed under: Lecanora atra
Lineage: Eukaryota; Fungi; Ascomycota; Lecanoromycetes; Lecanorales; Lecanoraceae
Description: 5.8S ribosomal RNA
Rfam family: 5.8S ribosomal RNA (bases 1-152)
About the family: 5.8S ribosomal RNA (5.8S rRNA) is a component of the large subunit of the eukaryotic ribosome. It is transcribed by RNA polymerase I as part of the 45S precursor that also contains 18S and 28S rRNA. Functionally, it is thought that 5.8S rRNA may be involved in ribosome translocation.
Source: RNAcentral
CUUUCAACAACGGAUCUCUUGGUUCCAGCAUCGAUGAAGAACGCAGCGAAAUGCGAUAAGUAAUGUGAAUUGCAGAAUUCAGUGAAUCAUCGAAUCUUUGAACGCACAUUGCGCCCCUCGGUAUUCCGGGGGGCAUGCCUGUUCGAGCGUCACUAACACCCCUCAAGCGUAGCUUGGUACUGAGCCUUCGCCGUCUCGGCGGGCUCGAAAA